CUCUUCCUCGUACAGUCUCCUAGCCCCGCCGGAACCAUCGCCGGUGGGAAGCGCAACCUAUGUCGUUGGCCACCAAAUCAACGCCAUUGAUACCCCUUCCUCUCCUCUUUCCAACCCCCACACCAUCAUCUCGCGAACUUCCCCCAGGCCGUCGAUUAUCUAUUUGAAGAUUUUUCGGCCACGACGUCAACUAUUUCAAAUCGCUCCAAACUUACACCAUUGACUCUCCUAACUUCCCUCAACCCAAAUAUAUGAACAUCUUGUCUCAAAUCUGGGUGGAAGUGCUCGAAUUUUAGUUUGAAAUUUCCAGCCAAAAUCCUAGGCGCUUUUAAGUACUCCAAAUUGAUGCAACGUGAUCUUCCGUCUUGCCUCGUGACGAAUUCAACGUUAGUAGCCAUUGAAUGCCAUUGAAGUUGGUCAAAUCUUAUAACAUGUGAGUUCCUCACAGUUUUUCUAUUUUUUUCUUUGUGUUAUUAUUUGACUCGAAUGCAGUUUUAUCUUCUCGGGUUAAUAAUUGCAGAUUGUUCUUGUUGCCUCUCGAAUUUCUGUUAACUGAUAAAUUUGGCAUUAGCUAGCAAUUAGUCUUGAUCAAUAAUUGGUUUAGUUUAGAUUUGUGAUGAUUAGGUCAAUGUUGUUGAUGAGUUCAAUUCUCCUUUAGUUAGUUAAUUGUUCCGCUUUGAGUUAGUUGUCAGUAAUGGUUCAUUAAUAAGUUAACCGUUCUUCAUUUGUUAGAAUAGUUCAAUUUGUUUUUUUUACUGAAUUUGUGAUAAUCAUUUGUUGGGUUGUUUGGAUUGUUGAUAGUAAUUGGGAGUUUGAAGAUUGUUAUUUAAUUGGAGAUUGGAUUAACCUUAGUUAAGUUCACCAAAGAUAGAGAAUUUAGAAAGUUAAGAUAGUAAUUGCAAAUAAAAGUUUAGGGGCAUUAUGGGUAAUUGACAUUGAACUUGAAAGUUGUAGGUUAGAGUAGAAAGCCCUAUAUCUUCUAGAAUAGGGUCAAGUGUAGGGUUUUAGUAAAUGUAAUGCAUUAACUUGUUACGUAGGUCAGAAAUCAGAGGACCAAAACAAAAUAAAAAAGGGACUAAUAGUGCAAACUGAAAAUCUGAGGGUUGACCCAUCUUUGCCUAUAAAGCAGCCCCAAUGCCAUAAUUCACAAGUUUGGGUAGCCUAAAAUUCCCCCUCUCAAGAUAUUCUACAGACUUCCAUAUCUACAAUUAAUAUUUCAGGUCUGAAAUUCCUUUAAAUCUCAACUUCUUUAAAAAGAAAAACUAAAAACAACAAAAGCUUCAAAAAAAAUGUACUACUAUAGUGUUUUUUAGGCAAAAUUGUUCACUUCCAGUCUCAUCUGUUUGUUGAGGUUCAUUGAAGUUUAUUAGUUUGUUUAUUGGGUUGCUUUGGGUCCAUGCAAAUUGAUUUUGAGUUGAAUUAGUGAAGCUGAUUGGUUUUAAAACAUUUAUGGACCAUCUGGUUGUGAUUUCAAGCUACUAUGAGUUAGUUCAAGCAGUGUUGGAUUGAGUUGCUAGUUUUCUGUUGACUUGUUGAAUAAUUUCUGGAUUUCGAACCUAUUCAUUGGCUGUUGGUUAUUCCAUAACUGUAGGAAAUUGCUUAUUGCUACUACUGUGCUGGGACCGACCUCCUUUGCUUCUAUUUGUGUCAAUUUCCGUGUACUUUUCGGUUUCCUUUGAUGUUGAUGGACUGAAUUUGUGUGUUGGUCGAUUGAAGAAAUAAAAUUCAAGUCUUGUUAACUUAAUGUUGAAUCUGUGCAAUAUCGUGCAAACUGGGAUUUUAGUUGUGUAGCAGUAAUAAUAGAGAAUUGGAUAAUUGAAACACUUUUAUAAUUUGUAGUAAACGAACUAUUGUGGACUAUUGAUUUGAAUCUGUACUCAAUUGUUCUGGAAGAUUUUUAUUAGGAAAUAAUAGUUGAUGCUUGAACACUUACGAGAAUUCAUCUUGUUUAGUAGUUAGUAGUUGAAUUUCAAAAUAAAUUAGACGGUAAUAUUGUCAGUAUAUGGAUGCCACGUUCGUUAGGUUAAGUGGAGUUGAAAAUUAAGUUGAAUUGAGGGUUCAUUUUCACAUUGUGGUUUGGGUAAAAUGUUGACAAUAUUAUUAGUUUUUGAUUGUAUUUGAGUGACUAAAUACUGUAACGGUUAAUGUGUUUUGGAUUUUUGGCUUGGAUCAAUUCAUUAUUAAAGAUUGGGGCUCUGAGGCUUCGAUACGGCAAUUCUGUGCAUGCGCACAUUGGGCAAGCGUAGGCUUCCCUUUGGAACUUUGGAGCACCCUUGCCCAGGCUCUAAAUCUGUUUUGCCCUCAACGGAAACGGGGCUGGUUUACGAGCCUGUUUCUUUGGGCCAGCCAUUUGUGCCCAGUUUAAAAUUCAAUACAUGGUUUACAUAAAAUUUGGGUUUUGAGUUAGGUAGCGGGUUCAAGCUAAAAGGCACCCCCUUUUGUUUGGACCCGGACUUGAACUUGAAGCCCGAAUUUUAGUAUUAAUUAAUUAAUUAAUUAGGUCUUUAUUUUCUUUUAGAGACAAAAAUAAAAACAGAAAAUAUAGUCUCUCUUAGGCUAACACUUUAUAAUAAAAAUGGGACAAGCCUCGGCCGAUGAAAUGAAAAAUUGUGGGGCCCUAAAUAAAGGUUUUUAAAUUAUUUGGAAAAUCAGGAAGGGUCGUUUAGUGAAUUUUACGACUCUCCCAAAAGAUAAUAAUGCGUUAGACUCUUUAGACGUGAUUUUAAUAAAAAUACGUUCCGAAACUCGGUUGUGCAUUUCAUGCGACCCAAAUAGAAUCCCAAAAUAUUGAAUAAAUUGUUUUUUGGAUUGCAAGUGCAUUUCAUGUGACGCAAUGCAAAGGCACGCUUUAAACAAUGUUCACCUUCCUUUCUUUAAAAUAAAUACACAUUGAAUAAAAGCGGUUAAAAAGUAAAAUUGGCACAUAGGUUCUUCAUGUAAUAAAAUUAGAUAAAUAAGCUAAAUGCAACAGUUGAGCGACCGUGCUAGAACCACGGAACUCGGGAAUGCCCAACACCUUAUCCCGGUUUAACAAAAUUCCUUAUCUAGAUUCUGGUUCGCAAACUGUUAACAGAGUCGUCUUAUCCUCGGUUAGGGAUUCAACCGGUGACUUGGGACACCAUUAAUCUCCUAAGUCGCGACUCUGAAUAAAUAAUAAUAAAUCUCGUUCUGAUUGUCCUUUAAUUGGAAAAACUCAUUUACUCCUCUUUUUAGGGGUGUAGGUGAAAAAGGAGGCGUGACAGCUCUGGCGAAUCUGCUGGAGAACAAGAACCCAGAACGUUUUGUUUAGGGUUCAAAUUCGAGCUUGGAAUAAUUGUUAUGUUUGGCUUUAUCUGAUUUUGUUACAUGAUCUGUGCCCAAUGUGCUAAUUUAUUGCUUUUUACCGCUUUGAUAUUAUGUGGACUGUAUAUAAACUGUGUCGAAACUCAUCUCCUCUCUAAGUCUUCUGAAUCAUGAAGAAGGGUAUACCUUGUACGACUUCUUUUCUGUAUAGAGUCAAAUCCCAAUUUAGAACGAGGUUUGAGUAAGUUGCAAAACCGGCGAAGCUUCUGUAUUCCCGAGAUGCUGCCUCCCCUCGGCUCGAGUUGUCCGCUCGAGUAAGCCAAGUCUAGAACAAACACCCGGGUUUUGAACCUAGAAUAACUCAGCCUCAUGCCGGAUCCCUAGUAGGAAUGCUUAUUUGCAUCAUGUUCAUUUUGACUUAGGGGACUCAACACAGGGGUUGGGUCCGUCUAGGGCUAGCAACCUAAAAUGAAAAGACCAUCCUGAUACAUCCUACUUGUUUUCUGUGCAUUUAUUUGUUCAUGCUUGCAUGUUGACCGGCUUCUGAAUCUCGGAAAUGUUAGAAAAUUAAAACCAAAAGAGAAAAAGAGAAAAAGAGAAAAAUAGCAUUUGGAGAGUUAAUUGAAUGUUUUGAAAAACCAAUGCUCAAGUACUGUCGAAACUCUGCUAAAAUUUUGAGAAAAUAAAAAAAUGUUUUGUUUUUAAAUAGUUGUUUUAUUCAAAAAGAGUCUGUCAUUUUUAGUUUUUGUUGUUUGCAAAAAUGGAAAAUGAAAAAUAGUUUGUUUUGUCAUGGGAAAAGAAAAAAAAGAGUCUUGAUUUUUGUUCUUCUUGUUUCAAAAUAGUUUAUUUGCCAACAAAAGCGAAAAUAAGUUGCUCUAUUGUUUGUUGAAAAUGAAAAAAGGCUUGUUUUUAAAAGUAUUUUAUUUAAUUUAUUUAUUUUAUUUGAAAUGCCAAAAAUGAAAAUAAAAAAGUCAUGUUUUAAAAUAGUUCGGUUAAUUUGUUCGAACUACGUCAGUUUGAUUCUCACAUGGUGUGGGAUACGUAGGUAACCCUUAUCGGGUCCAACCUCUCCUUUGCAAAAAUAACCAAAAAUAUCAAAAUUGUAAUUUUUGUCAUAAAUAAAUCAGGUGAUACUAUUUUUGUCAAAAAUAGCCAAAUCUUCCCAAACGGGACGUCAAAAGCCUGACCUUGCAUAAAUGGCCUUUGGUCAUAUUUUGAUUUUUUUACCCUAGCAGCCUUAAGUCUUCGUCCCUAAGGAGCUGGAAGGUCGUGUUUGUAUUACUGGGUCAUUUAUUUUAAUUUAAAAAAAAACAAGAAAGAGAGUCGGUGGUCAAGUGAAUACCGUUCGGAUUUUGGGUCAAAAUUGGCAUAUAGGGGAAGGAAUCUAUCAUUUUGUUUUUGGGUUUGUAUUUCUUUUGAUUAGAGUAUAUGGGUUGUUUGAUUUUUGAGUCUGUAUUUUAUCGUUAAAUUGGUUAGUUUUGUUGUUAUUAUGAAUAUGGAAAAUUCCAAAAAUGUCUUACUCUCGUUUACCAUUUAUUUUCAAGAACUACGCACGGUCUGAUUCAUGCGGGGUCAUGAAACGUAGGCAAUCUCCAUAAUAUUUGACCACAACCAAAAAAAUGGAAAAGAAAAUUGAAUAAAGAAAAAUUAAGAAAAACUGGAAAAGAUGUUGUUAAUAAUGAGGACCGACUUAAUCCAUUCUAACAUGUUCUAUUUUGAAUUGUGAAGAAAGUUGAGGUGGUUGGUUUGUGGUAACUCCUCCAUACAACACAAGGUCGAAAAACAAGGCAGUCAUGGCCAGCAAAAAGUUGAACACAGGUAUUACUUAUCCAUCUAGGGGCAUUGUUGAAUCAGAUCUGAGCUGAAAGAAGAGGUUUUGAGGUUGAAAAGACAGAUAGUCGGAAUGCACAAAGCUUGGGCCAGUGGGUAUCCUCCGCCAUCA
RNAcentral lists this long non-coding RNA (5224 nucleotides) under Nicotiana benthamiana. RNAcentral describes it as "long non-coding RNA (NBEN_LNC013228)". Lineage: Eukaryota; Viridiplantae; Streptophyta; Magnoliopsida; Solanales; Solanaceae. The record is from RNAcentral.